Molecule: long non-coding RNA, 351 nt
Filed under: Rosa chinensis
Lineage: Eukaryota; Viridiplantae; Streptophyta; Magnoliopsida; Rosales; Rosaceae
Description: sRNA RchiOBHm_Chr4g0423351
Source: RNAcentral
CUCUGUUAUUUAGUUGAGCCUUUUAAUAAGAAUUUUCGAAUGUCUCAAGAACUUUAAGUGGCUCCAUUAGUUACCUAUUUCUUUCAAAGUGAGUAUGUUCAUUAUCUAACCAAAGAAACAUCGAUAAAAAUACAAUUAUAUUGUUGAGAAUAUCCAACAGUGUCAGCAAUGGCAAUUGAUAUCUAAGUGUGACUUUUUUCUUUUCUUUUUUUUUACCCUUCUAGUGGUUCCUUAACACUCUGAUGUUUUUAUUCAAGUUUAAUUUGUCCUAAUUGUCUAUUCGCUUUUUUAGGUCUAUGGUUGUUUGCAGUUUGGUGGUCUCGUACUUUUUGGUUGAUGAUGUUUUUGUAG